Molecule: unclassified non-coding RNA, 432 nt
Filed under: soil metagenome
Description: partial contains 5.8S ribosomal RNA, internal transcribed spacer 2, and large subunit ribosomal RNA
Rfam family: 5.8S ribosomal RNA (bases 1-120)
Source: RNAcentral
GAUGAAGAACGUAGCGAAAUGCGAUACGUAAUGUGAAUUGCAGAAUUCAGUGAAUCAUCGAAUCUUUGAACGCAUAUUGCGCUCUCUGGUAUUCCGGAGAGCAUGCUUGUUUGAGUAUCAGUAAACACCUCAACUCCCUUUUCUUUUUUGAAAUGGGAGCUGGACUUGAGUGAUCCCAACACUUUUCUCACUGGAAAGUGGCGGGUCACUUGAAAUGCAGGUGCAGCUGGACUUUUCUCUGAGCUAUAAGCAUAUCUAUUUAGUCUGCCUAAAAAACAGAUUAUUACCUUUGCUGCAGCUAACAUAAAGGAGAUGAGUUCUUGUGCUGACUGAUGCAGGAUUCACAGAGACAGCUUUGCGGCUGACUUUGUAAACUCGAUCUCAAAUCAAGUAAGACUACCCGCUGAACUUAAGCAUAUCAAUAAGCGGAGG